CGACUUCGUGGACGAGGACGUGAUCGUGGUCGCCAACCGCGGCGGCGGGGUCGCCGUCGUCCGGCUCGUCCCCGGCGGGGCCGACC
RNAcentral lists this transfer RNA (86 nucleotides) under Catellatospora citrea. RNAcentral's name for it is "tRNA-Gly". The record is from RNAcentral. Lineage: Bacteria; Bacillati; Actinomycetota; Actinomycetes; Micromonosporales; Micromonosporaceae.